RNAcentral lists this ribosomal RNA (465 nucleotides) under uncultured bacterium. RNAcentral's name for it is "partial 16S ribosomal RNA". It matches the Rfam family "Bacterial small subunit ribosomal RNA", at positions 28 to 507 of the family's 1533-position model. The record is from RNAcentral.
GACGAACGCUGGCGGCGUGCUUAACACAUGCAAGUCGAACGGUAAGGCCCCUUCGGGGGUACACGAGUGGCGAACGGGUGAGUAACACGUGAGCAACCUGCCCUUGACUCUGGAAUAACAGUUGGAAACAGCUGCUAAUACUGGAUAUUCAUCGUCUCCUUCCUGGGGGGUGGUGGAAAGCUCCGGCGGUCGGGGAUGGGCUCGCGGCCUAUCAGCGUGUUGGUGAGGUAAUGGCUCACCAAGGCUUCGACGGGUAGCCGGCCUGAGAGGGCGACCGGCCACACUGGGACUGAGAUACGGCCCAGACUCCUACGGGAGGCAGCAGUGGGGAAUAUUGCACAAUGGGCGCAAGCCUGAUGCAGCAACGCCGCGUGCGGGAUGACGGCCUUCGGGUUGUAAACCGCUUUCAGUAGGGACGAAGGGUGACUGACGGUACCUACAGAAGAAGGACCGGCUAACUACGUG